Molecule: long non-coding RNA, 1194 nt
Organism: Gasterosteus aculeatus aculeatus (three-spined stickleback)
Lineage: Eukaryota; Metazoa; Chordata; Actinopteri; Perciformes; Gasterosteidae
Source: Ensembl
AAGGAGGAGUGCAACUCGGAGCUAUUUAAUCCACUUUUGAAGCAAACAGUCGUUUAUUGAGCCUGGACGCGCGCGACCCGCUUCCAUAAGUUAAAAUGGCCACUGCGGCGCAACACAAACCGCUUCUUCUCUUAUUUUGGUCGAAGUUUUCUCGCAGCUGCAGCCAAAGCUCACGUGCUUCCAUUGGCUGCAGGCGCGCGCAGCUGGCGCCUCGUGCACGUUUCCAUUGGCCCCUCAGCUGUCAUUUAAGCGGAGCCCCCCAUUGAACGUGGUCCCGGGGUUUGUCUGAGAGCGAUUCCAGGCAGCGACCAUUAUGUACCGUACGCGCUGUCCUCCCUCCCCGGUGACGCGCACGCACACCGCCUUUUGUUUGUUGUGUACGUGCUCGUGUUGUUGCUCAGACCUGCAGGUGAUCCUCAUCCUGCACCGCUGGACCCUUCUGUGAAGGUUCUGUGGAGACAAAGGAGGGCUGUUCUCCUCUGCUAGGACAGCCAGCCUCACCUGGUGGAGACAUCACACCUCUCUGCACUAAGACAACUGACCACAUGUGCAGACUGCGAGAAGGAGGACCAGUGAGACCAGUUGGUACCCAACCUGAGUGGGAGACUACUGGUAGACAGACAGGUUGACAAGAAGACUAAACAGGCAGACAGACUGGUAGACAGACAGGUGAACAAGAAGGCUGGUAAGAAGGUAGAUGUUGGGAAAGCUUUAAAUAAUGUUUACACCUCAAUAUUACACAAAGUGUCUCUGAGAGACACUUUGUCUCUCAGAGACACUUUGUGUUCUGGUUCCACUGAUAUUCAAGAUGUUUGUGAGUCAAUGUCCAGAUAAUCUAGUGGUGCAUGAGGUGGAGAAGAUGCUGGUCUAUCUCCACGGUGGAUUACUGGUGGGUCUAUUUUCCAGCUAUAUAUUACUGUACCAGAGAAACAUUCCUUCUUUUAGAGUAUCAUAUGUUGUCCAUUCUGUCUCCUACUUCAAGUGUCAUUUAAUAAAUGUCCUGUUUACACUGGUGUCAAGUAACCUUUUUUUAACAGUAGAAGAAUGCAGGUAGGUAUCAAUGCUAAUGACACCAAUAGCUGGUUCUAGAGGUAUGAUGUCAUAAAGAUGUUCAAAAUAAAGCAAACUGAGAUGGAAGUGCAUUUAAUCAGAUCCUAGAAAGGUCAGCCAAUAUAUUUCACAACUUUAUGACUU